AGAGAUGGAUUGGUGCCUUCGGGAACUGUGAGACAGGUGCUGCAUGGCUGUCGUCAGCUCGUGUUGUGAAAUGUUGGGUUAAGUCCCGCAACGAGCGCAACCCUUAUCCUUUGUUGCCAGCGGUUCGGCCGGGAACUCAAAGGAGACUGCCAGUGAUAAACUGGAGGAAGGUGGGGAUGACGUCAAGUCAUCAUGGCCCUUACGACCAGGGCUACACACGUGCUACAAUGGCAUAUACAAAGAGAAGCG
Molecule: ribosomal RNA, 249 nt
Filed under: Klebsiella pneumoniae
Lineage: Bacteria; Pseudomonadati; Pseudomonadota; Gammaproteobacteria; Enterobacterales; Enterobacteriaceae
Description: partial 16S ribosomal RNA
Rfam family: Bacterial small subunit ribosomal RNA
Source: RNAcentral